RNAcentral lists this ribosomal RNA (456 nucleotides) under Gemella haemolysans. RNAcentral's name for it is "bacterial SSU rRNA". It matches the Rfam family "Bacterial small subunit ribosomal RNA", at positions 28 to 468 of the family's 1533-position model. The record is from RNAcentral. Lineage: Bacteria; Bacillati; Bacillota; Bacilli; Caryophanales; Gemellaceae.
GACGAACGCUGGCGGCGUGCCUAAUACAUGCAAGUCGAGCGAAGUUUUUCUGGUGCUUGCACCGGAAAAACUUAGCGGCGAACGGGUGAGUAACACGUAAAGAACCUGCCUCAUAGACUGGGACAACUAUUGGAAACGAUAGCUAAUACCGGAUAACAGCAUUAACUGCAUGGUUGAUGUUUGAAAGUUGGUUUUGCUAACACUAUGAGAUGGCUUUGCGGUGCAUUAGCUAGUUGGUGGGGUAAAGGCCUACCAAGGCGACGAUGCAUAGCCGACCUGAGAGGGUGAUCGGCCACACUGGGACUGAGACACGGCCCAGACUCCUACGGGAGGCAGCAGUAGGGAAUCUUCCGCAAUGGGCGAAAGCCUGACGGAGCAACGCCGCGUGAGUGAAGAAGGAUUUCGGUUCGUAAAGCUCUGUUGUUAGGGAAGAAUGAUUGUGUAGUAACUAUACAC